Thamnophis sirtalis is the source of this 611-nucleotide non-coding RNA. Lineage: Eukaryota; Metazoa; Chordata; Lepidosauria; Squamata; Natricidae. The record is from RefSeq and is a predicted model, not a curated record.
UCGCCCCGGACCUCUCUUGAUUGAUCAGGUUCUGUGAGUGAGUGGCUGACAGUCCACCUGUUUUUCCCCCCGGGGAGGGUGGGGGGAGACGGCUGGCUUUCCUGUUCUUUGAAUCGCUUGCCCAAUUGGGAAGGUAGGAGCGAGAUGUACCAUCUGCAGCAUAAGACGGCAGAGAUUGGAAGCUACCACUGACGGCUUUGCUCUCCCGCUCUGGAGAGCGAGAAGCGAGGUGUACCGUGCAGACGGGGAGAAUUUCUUUUCUCGGGCCACUGGUUUCUAUGCCUCUUCAACCUGCCUCCUUUUCCCGAUUGCUUUGGAAACCUGGACAUACUUUUUGCAAAGUCUCUUGGACACCUUUCCGGUUUUUUCCCCUCCCCCUCCCUUGAGCUGGAUGAUUAGUAAAUGGACCAUCUGAAAAACUCGCUGAUUAUUGUGCUCCGAGUCAACUUAAAAGAUCCCCGGGGGAACUAGAGGGAUUUUCGUUUUCAUUGGAGAAGUUUUCAGGGGCGACUAUUGGACAGAAAUUGUCUGCUACAAAUGAUCAUGCUGACUUAAAGAUAUGAAAACCAAAGAAGAUGUCAUUUGACUGGGUAUACUGAGCAUUGUGUAAG